UGAGCUGCCACAUGUGGCAGGCAGUGUUUACACACAAAACAUUCGGAAAACCCAAAAAAUAAACCAAAAUUCACUUAAAAUAAUGCCAGGCAAGCAGGUCAGCUUCAAAGAGAAGAACCUCCAAGGGGAGAGUCCAAGUGGACCGGCAGAGAGUGUGGCAGGCCCAUGCCCGGGCCCGGGCCCUGCAGGAAGGCCUGCACCAAAAGUGCCGGCCCAGCCGCAGGACGGGAGAGAUGGGCCUGUCCUCAAGCGACGUCUUUGAACACCAGCAGGGAGCAGGCACCGAGGACUUGGAGCACGCGCCGCCACCCCAAGGACCCUGCCGCAAAAGGCUUAGGAAACUGUCACUUGAUCGCUGACCCGUGUCAAGCCUCGGCGGCCACACUUUUGGCGUGUGGCACGUGUGGCAGUGUGCACCUGAGCCUUUUUGCAGCUAAUUGAAUUACAAUUUUUGACUGCCCUUCAGGCUUCGCCCCCACAACCGCCACAACCCCCACGCAGAUUCAUUCCGUAGGAAGAUCCUGGCACGUAUGCGACAGGAAGGAGCUCCCCUUCCCCCAGUCGGAGUCUGUGACAACACACACAAGCCGAAAAAGAAACCAUGAAUCUCCCGAAGCAAAUAAACAAAUUACAACAGAC
Drosophila miranda is the source of this 639-nucleotide long non-coding RNA. RefSeq lists it as uncharacterized. NCBI's taxonomy places the organism in Eukaryota, Metazoa, Arthropoda, Insecta, Diptera, Drosophilidae. The transcript is spliced from 2 exons. The record is from RefSeq and is a predicted model, not a curated record.